Non-coding RNA from Oncorhynchus mykiss (rainbow trout), 423 nucleotides. The record is from RefSeq and is a predicted model, not a curated record. Lineage: Eukaryota; Metazoa; Chordata; Actinopteri; Salmoniformes; Salmonidae.
AAACAAAAUAGCACUUUGAUUGACAAGCCAACCCAUGAAUGCAAGCAAUGAGUAACGGAUGGAAGCAGCCAAUGAAACGUCUCUGGAACAAACAGAGGAUGAAUGAUAGCUAUGCCCCUGAUGUGUCGUUGGGGCUUUGAGUGAUAAUCAUCUAGGGGUGAGUUGUGGUUGCAGCAGCCUUCAGGAAUCCUAAUUCCAGGAAUGUUUUCCUUGUUGACGGAGCGCUCGUCUUUCCAGGAACAUUCCCAGAAAGAGGGGUCACGUGUGCAUGAUAUGGUCUCAGUUCCACCAAUCCAUGGCCCAAACGAUGAAGUCACCCACAGCCAAAGAGGGAGCGGAAAGCGGUCUAAGGCCCACUGAAAGGAGAAGCUGAGCAAUAGGACCAUGCGUCAGGAUUACCUGGCCUGAUGACUCCUGUCUGUU